CUAGAGAGGAGCCGGCAUCGCAAGUCAAACGCAAGCAGAGGAGGCUUUUUGCAUCUCGCUGCGGAGCCGCGCUCGCAGCCCGGCAGCCCCGCGGGUCCCUCCCGGCGCUGCGGGCGCGGGGCUCGCCCCGGCUCCUCUCCCGGCUCGCUCGCUCUCGGAGGAAAGUCGCUUGGGUACAUUACUGAACCUUCUCUGGAGCUACAGUAAGUUUUUAAAUGGAAAUUGAGGUUUGGAGAUGCUGCACUUUCAGACACAAGAGGAGGGUGAGCUCCUGGAUGGAGAUACCUACAUGAAGCUUCAUCAGUGCUAGUCCUUGGGAGG
RNAcentral lists this long non-coding RNA (321 nucleotides) under Zonotrichia albicollis (white-throated sparrow). RNAcentral's name for it is "lncRNA (ENSZALG00000016822.1)". The record is from RNAcentral. Lineage: Eukaryota; Metazoa; Chordata; Aves; Passeriformes; Passerellidae.